GAUGGAAAACUUUGUCUGGAAGAUGUCAGAGGUUGAGGGGUGAGAACGAAAAAGCUUGCUCUCAGACUUGCUUUCGUUUAAAAUGUAGUCUUAGUUUCGCUUUCGAACUUUGGAACAGUUUGUGAGAUUGACGUCUCAGUUCUUUGUAUGUCUGUUUCCAACGAGGUUAGGCUGUGCAUCUACGCUGUCGUCUAUAUGAGAAGACGAAUGGGGUUCCGGUGUCUCGAUAAUUCAAUUGUUACGUCUGAUAAAUCGAUUUUCACAUGAAAUGCGGGGGGUAACAGCAGAUUGGACUAUACAGCCCAAGAAGAACAGCUGUGGCCACUUUUUUCGCUACUUCUGGUCCAACGGAUUGUGCGAUUCGUUAUGGACGAACAUAACACAGAGGACACAAUAAAUCCUUUGCCACGCCCACUCCCUUUUUUUGUGUCGUGUGUAGGCUGCAUCCUGCUAUAUCACAGCUCAUCUUUCUUUACACAUAGCGAAGAAUGCCAGCCUUUUGUUGCAUGCUGUACAUCUACCAUGAUGAUUUAUUUGCACCACAUUGGACAAGGAAACCCGGGAAACGAAGAAAGUAUUUUUUCUGUUUGUUUUCUGCGAUAUUUUUAAAAUAUAUUAUUUGUUUCUAGCUGCAUGGGAAAAGAAUGUUUCUAUCGGACCAUGGUCGAAGCAAAUAAAGAAGGAAACAAGUUGGAAGGAUUUAUAUCUAUCGUCUUGUCAACUUGCUCUAAUAUACUUUCCUUUUCUCUCUGCUUUUCUUUAUGUAUGUACAAAUAACAAGGAGCAGCAUAGGAAAACGAACACUGGGCUUCCGCGGACGCAAUGAAACAACAAGAAUUGUUCCUCGUUUUUCUUUCAAUUUUUAUCCUCCCUUUACGUGAUUUGCUGGUGGAAUGCUGGAACCCUGGUGAUAACGUUGUCCUCUAAUACCGUGAAGCACCAGCACAUCGUGCGGACGCUGUAAUAUAUAGAGGCGGCAAAAGAAAACAAAAAUAACUGGAGCUCAAACAAACAAAAAAUAUCCAACAUUAUUUUUUGUUUUGCUUUGUUAUUUAUUACAAUAGGCCUCGAAAAAUGUAGUUUUUUUUGGUUUUUUUUU
RNAcentral lists this unclassified non-coding RNA (1099 nucleotides) under Daphnia magna. Its description in RNAcentral is "uncharacterized LOC116929087, transcript variant X6". Lineage: Eukaryota; Metazoa; Arthropoda; Branchiopoda; Diplostraca; Daphniidae. The record is from RNAcentral.